UAACAAGUGUCAAUACUGUGCUAGGAACUCUGGGUGGAAAGAUGUAGAAUUUGUUUAGUCUAGUGAGUGAUAGUUUUAAUCCAGAGUGGUCCAUGCUCAGCAGACCUACAUACACAGACCCCAGAAGAGGGACACUUAGGCCAGCCUGGGCAUUCGGGGAAGACUGCAGAGAUAACACAUGAACUAAGUCCUGUUUGAUAGUGAAAGAAGGAAAGGCAUUCUGGGCAGCGAGAACAGCAUGGCAAAAGCAGAGACCAUAAAUAGAGUGUUCUGUUAGGGAUUAGGUAUUUAGAGAUGUGCAAUGAGUGGCAGCAGGUGAGUCCAGAGGGUGAAGGCCAGUCCAGGCCAGGACAGACUUUGCAGGCUUUGUCCGAGAGCUGAGGCAUCAUUGGGGCAUCAUUCUGAAAGUUAUGGGGAGCAUGGAAAGGAUUUUGGAAGGGGAGCACCCUAGCCAGACCCCUUAGACUCUGAUUGUAGAUUGAAGGUACUUGAAUGAAUGAACCCGAGGUUCAAGGGAGGAGUCAAGGCUAGGCAUUAUCGGGAAAUAGGUGCGUUAUUGUUCACCAAUACGUAUUUUAAGGGUCACUGAAUGCUGGGCAUGGUUCCAUAGCAAUUUUAGAAAAAUAAUUCUUGUUUACAAAUUUAGGCCUAUUUUGUGUCCCACUUGGAAAAUAUAUCAAAAGACAUAUUCGUUGGCUUUCCUGGAAUUGUUUUUGAAACAUCUUUGUCUUCCCAGAAACCGGAGUACACAUAUCCAACUCUGUCUGAGUCUGUGCUGACAUAAUGCAGUGAAGAUGAUAUUUUGCAAUUUUUAUGGUUCAUGGGUGACUCAUCAAGGUCAUCCAAGCUAAGAGCUCAGAAAACACUUGGGACAAGGACCUAGAAAUGUACUUGGUAUAUCAUAGAUGUUCAAUAAAUGUUUAUAGGUGUGUUGUUGUUGUUUUUAUUAUUAAUUUAGAAAGUGGCCCUCAGAGUCUAGAAUUCACUAUCAGUCUAGAGCAUUAUCACCUGGGUUACUAAUAGUAAGCAUAUCAUUCAGGUACUUGACUUUGUAACUUGCAGUCCUCAAGUCCAGCUUGAAAUUUGGAAUUUGUUACUCUUCUAACUCAGCUCUCCCGGGUAUCAGCCAGAAUCUAUCACAUAAAAAAUUUAUUUAUGUAGGUAAGCUUCACUUUCCUCAACUAUAGAAUGGGAGAAUGCAACAGGGUUAAUGUUGGUACCUACUUAAUUCGCCUAUUGUGAAGAAAAGAAGAAAUAUUGUGAGUGAAGAGCUCAACCCUUGUGCUUGUUAUUACUUUUUUUUCUGUCAGUAGGUACAUAUGUUUGUUCAUAUCAGUCUAUUGUUGCCCAAUUAGUGUCCAGACUGUUUUUCAACUUGAUUUUUCACCAGCUCUUGAAAUGUCAUUCAUUUGUAUGUAUCUCAACUCCUGUUUUUUUGUUUUGUUUUCCUUCAUGAUAGAAUCCAUGGAAUGAAGCAUCCAGCCCUGUGUUGGGACAAAUAUUCUAGUCCAGGAAGUAGCAAACUAUGGCUGUGGGACAAGGCUGGCCAGCCACCUGGUUUUGUAAAUAAAGUUUUAUUGCAACACUG
Molecule: long non-coding RNA, 1588 nt
Organism: Pipistrellus kuhlii (Kuhl's pipistrelle)
Lineage: Eukaryota; Metazoa; Chordata; Mammalia; Chiroptera; Vespertilionidae
Exons: 3
Source: RefSeq, a predicted model, not a curated record